Molecule: regulatory RNA element, 86 nt
Rfam family: SAM-III riboswitch aptamer (SMK box)
Source: Rfam
UAGAGUUAUAAGAAGUUCCCGAUAGGAUUCACACACCGUGAAGAGGCCUUGUAACCGACACAUAUAUAGGGGGAAACAUAGAAAUG